Molecule: ribosomal RNA, 502 nt
Filed under: uncultured Glomeromycotina
Lineage: Eukaryota; Fungi; Glomeromycota
Description: partial small subunit ribosomal RNA
Rfam family: Eukaryotic small subunit ribosomal RNA
Source: RNAcentral
CCAAUAGCGUAUAUUAAAGUUGUUGCAGUUAAAAAGCUCGUAGUUGAACUUCGGGGUUCACCCAUUGGUCAGGCUUAAUUGUCUGCACUGGUGAGAUGAGUCUCUACCUUCUGAGGAACUUUCAUGCCAUUUAUUUGGUGUGAUGGGAAAUCAGGACUGUUACUUUGAAAAAAUUAGAGUGUUUAAAGCAGGCUAACGUCUGAAUACAUUAGCAUGGAAUAAUGAAAUAGGACGGACUGAUUCUAUUUCGUUGGUUUCUAGGAUCACCGUAAUGAUUAAUAGGGAUAGUUGGGGGCAUUAGUAUUCAAUUGUCAGAGGUGAAAUUCUUGGAUUUAUUGAAGACUAACUACUGCGAAAGCAUUUGCCAAGGAUGUUUUCAUUAAUCAAGAACGAAAGUUAGGGGAUCGAAGACGAUCAGAUACCGUCGUAGUCUUAACCAUAAACUAUGCCGACUAGGGAUCGGGCGAAGUUAAUUUUAUAAUGACGCGUCCGGCACCUUACG